This 299-nucleotide unclassified non-coding RNA is filed under the name plant metagenome. Its description in RNAcentral is "partial contains 5.8S ribosomal RNA, internal transcribed spacer 2, and large subunit ribosomal RNA". The stretch from base 1 to 105 matches the Rfam family "5.8S ribosomal RNA", at positions 50 to 154 of the family's 154-position model. The record is from RNAcentral.
GAAAUGCGAUAAGUAAUGUGAAUUGCAGAAUUCAGUGAAUCAUCGAAUCUUUGUACGCACAUUGCGCCCCCUGGUAUUCCGGGGGGCAUGCCUGUUCGAGCGUCAUUUCACCACUCAAGCCUCGCUUGGUAUUGGGCGACGCGGUCCGCCGCGCGCCUCAAAUCGACCGGCUGGGUCUUCCGUCCCCUCAGCGUUGUGGAAACUAUUCGCUAAAGGGUGCCGCGGGAGGUCACGCCGCAAAACAACCCCAUUUCUAAGGUUGACCUCGGAUCAGGUAGGGAUACCCGCUGAACUUAAGC